This 119-nucleotide ribosomal RNA is filed under the name Pteropus alecto (black flying fox). The record is from RNAcentral. Lineage: Eukaryota; Metazoa; Chordata; Mammalia; Chiroptera; Pteropodidae.
CACUACGGGCAUGCCAACCUGAAGAAGCCUGAUCCCAUCUGAUCUCGGAAGCUAAGCAGGGUCGGGCCCGGUUAGUACUUGAAUGGGAGACCACCUAGGAAGACCAGGUGCUGUAGGCA